This is a long non-coding RNA of Mastomys coucha (southern multimammate mouse), 206 nucleotides long. RefSeq lists it as uncharacterized. NCBI's taxonomy places the organism in Eukaryota, Metazoa, Chordata, Mammalia, Rodentia, Muridae. The record is from RefSeq and is a predicted model, not a curated record. The transcript has 3 exons.
GGAUCUACCUCUGACUUCAGUCUUCCAAGAUACAGGAUAUCACAGUUCAGUCUGGCACAUGUCAGAAAAAGUCGUGGAUAUAGCAAUGUCCUCACUCACAGAGAAAGCAGAAGCAUAUGGGCCCCCAUCCUAUAUCUCUUUGCCCCAUGUUCUUUCCUCACUUUCUCCUCAGAAAAGUGGAGACUUCUCAUGGAUAUCAACCCACC